This 106-nucleotide ribosomal RNA is filed under the name uncultured bacterium. RNAcentral's name for it is "partial 16S ribosomal RNA". It matches the Rfam family "Bacterial small subunit ribosomal RNA", at positions 395 to 508 of the family's 1533-position model. The record is from RNAcentral.
CGCCGCGUGGGGGAUGAAGGCCUUCGGGUUGUUAAACCCCUUUACCUAGCAGGGACGGAAGCGAAAGAGACGGUACCUGCAGAAGAAGCGCCGGCUAACUACGUGC